AUGCCAGUAUCAGAUGGUUCUUUAACUGGAGAGAGGGAUAUUGAGUCGCAGUUGUGUGAACUCUUCGAGCGUGAGGAAAUUAUGGCGCGCCAGCGCUCAAGAGUUGGCUCCUUGAAGGGGACCGAAACACAGAGUUUUUUCAUGCCCAUGCUAGGUCAUGCAAACGAACUAAUAAAAUUCAUUCCUUGCUACGUGAGGAUGGCUCUUUGUGUGACUCACAAAGUGAAAUCAAAGAUGGGUCCAAUAAAAGCCCCGGGUCCUGACGGUUUCUCGGCUCUGUUUUAUCAAACUCACUGGAAUUUUAUUGGGGAGGAAAUUUGUCAUGAUGUAAGAAGCUUCUUGGAAGGUAUGCCUUAUCCCCGAAGGUUUCCGUGA
RNAcentral lists this ribosomal RNA (375 nucleotides) under Triticum aestivum (bread wheat). Its description in RNAcentral is "partial small subunit ribosomal RNA". The record is from RNAcentral. Lineage: Eukaryota; Viridiplantae; Streptophyta; Magnoliopsida; Poales; Poaceae.